Lepidothrix coronata (blue-crowned manakin) is the source of this 507-nucleotide long non-coding RNA. RefSeq lists it as uncharacterized. The record is from RefSeq and is a predicted model, not a curated record. Lineage: Eukaryota; Metazoa; Chordata; Aves; Passeriformes; Pipridae. The transcript is spliced from 4 exons.
GGGAAGCUGAACAUGUGCCCAUGGUGUUCACACUUGGUCCACCUUCUUCCAAGCCAUUUGCUGCAGUCAAACCUGCCUCACUUUGGUUUCAUUGAUGGCCACCCCUUCCUCUCUCUCUGUCUCUCCACAAGGUUAAGAAGCUUACAGUUGGAGUGCUUUCUCCCUGGCUGAGAGGCAGGAGGGUGAGUGGCUGCAGAGGACGGACAGAUAAAACAGCACAAAAGCAUCACUGAUGGAGGAAGAUCAGACAAGUACAGGAGAAGCUGAGUAGGAUAACAGCAGAUGAAUAGGUCAGGUAUUGAUGAGAAGCAAAUCCCCCACCUAAAGAGGAUGAAAAUCCCACAACAUCUUGCACCACAAAGGUGAAACCUCUCGGGUACAGGUUCUACCUGACCUCCAGAACAGGAAAUUGGAUUAGUCAGGUAAGCAAGGAGACCACGAGAGCAACUUCUGCACCACCCAUAACCCUGCAAAACAUCACCAAGGCCUUGCACAGAGUAUUUAAUA